This 73-nucleotide transfer RNA is filed under the name Actinomycetota bacterium. Its description in RNAcentral is "tRNA-Thr". It matches the Rfam family "tRNA". Rfam says of the family: Transfer RNA (tRNA) molecules are approximately 80 nucleotides in length. The record is from RNAcentral. Lineage: Bacteria; Bacillati; Actinomycetota.
GCCCGGUUAGCUCAGUUGGUAGAGCGCAUCCAUGGUAAGGAUGAGGUCGACGGUUCGAGCCCGUCACCGGGCU